RNAcentral lists this ribosomal RNA (293 nucleotides) under Desulfovibrio sp. BBD-16. RNAcentral's name for it is "partial 16S ribosomal RNA". It matches the Rfam family "Bacterial small subunit ribosomal RNA", at positions 1195 to 1484 of the family's 1533-position model. The record is from RNAcentral. Lineage: Bacteria; Pseudomonadati; Thermodesulfobacteriota; Desulfovibrionia; Desulfovibrionales; Desulfovibrionaceae.
AUGGCCCUUACGCCUGGGGCUACACACGUACUACAAUGGUGCAUACAAAGGAUUGCGAUACCGNGAGGUGGAGCUAAUCCCAUAAAGUGCAUCCCAGUCCGGAUAGGAGUCUGCAACUCGACUCCUUGAAGUCGGAAUCGCUAGUAAUCCCGGAUCAAGCAUGCCGGGGUGAAUGCGUUCCCGGGCCUUGUACACACCGNCCGUCACACCACGAAAGUUGGUUCUACCCGAAACCAGUGAGCUAACCAGCAAUGGAGGCAGCUGUCUACGGUGGGGCUGAUGAUUGGGGUGAA